This 19-nucleotide microRNA is filed under the name Schistosoma mansoni. RNAcentral's name for it is "sma-miR-8453-5p". The record is from miRBase by way of RNAcentral. Lineage: Eukaryota; Metazoa; Platyhelminthes; Trematoda; Strigeidida; Schistosomatidae.
AUAAAUUAGUUGAUAAGGU